UGACAAGGACGUGUUCUUCAUGUGUUUUUACCUGAGCAACCCUACUUCGCUUGAAAACAUCGAAUCAAAAUGGCUACCUGAAGUCCGCCAUAAUCGCCCUGAUGUUCCGAUUAUGCUGGUGGGAUGCAAACAGACCUUCCUAAAAGAGUGUCAGUAGAUGAUAUUACGUCGUUCGUCAAGCAACAUGGGCUGAAAUACAAGGAGACCAGCGCACGUUUACAGUCUGGGCUGAAUGACUGUUUUGAUCAAACGAUCGGCGAAGCUCUAGUCAUGCACACAAAGCCUAGACCCAAAGGAUUGUUUGGUUCCAAGAAGGCAGGGAAAACUCAUUAAACAGAUUGCGUUUACAUGAAUUGUCAUAGUAUAUAUUCGCAUUACUCGUACAAGAGUACCGGUAAAAAGCAAUUCUGAUUCAGCUACACUUUUGAUAACACCUAAAU
Molecule: long non-coding RNA, 440 nt
Organism: Dreissena polymorpha
Lineage: Eukaryota; Metazoa; Mollusca; Bivalvia; Myida; Dreissenidae
Exons: 3
Source: RefSeq, a predicted model, not a curated record